RNAcentral lists this ribosomal RNA (496 nucleotides) under uncultured bacterium. Its description in RNAcentral is "partial 16S ribosomal RNA". It matches the Rfam family "Bacterial small subunit ribosomal RNA", at positions 28 to 506 of the family's 1533-position model. The record is from RNAcentral.
GAUGAACGCUGGCGGCGUGCCUAAUACAUGCAAGUCGAGCGAACAGACGAGGAGCUUGCUCCUCUGACGUUAGCGGCGGACGGGUGAGUAACACGUGGAUAACCUACCUAUAAGACUGGGAUAACUUCGGGAAACCGGAGCUAAUACCGGAUAAUAUAUUGAACCGCAUGGUUCAAUAGUGAAAGACGGUUUUGCUGUCACUUAUAGAUGGAUCCGCGCCGCAUUAGCUAGUUGGUAAGGUAACGGCUUACCAAGGCAACGAUGCGUAGCCGACCUGAGAGGGUGAUCGGCCACACUGGAACUGAGACACGGUCCAGACUCCUACGGGAGGCAGCAGUAGGGAAUCUUCCGCAAUGGGCGAAAGCCUGACGGAGCAACGCCGCGUGAAUGAUGAAGGUCUUCGGAUCGUAAAACUCUGUUAUUAGGGAAGAACAAAUGUGUAAGUAACUAUGCACGUCUUGACGGUACCUAAUCAGAAAACCACGGCUAACUACGU